RNAcentral lists this unclassified non-coding RNA (823 nucleotides) under Hevea brasiliensis (rubber tree). The record is from RNAcentral. Lineage: Eukaryota; Viridiplantae; Streptophyta; Magnoliopsida; Malpighiales; Euphorbiaceae.
CUCUUGUCCACAUCUAAAGCCCAUAAACAACUAAAGCAGCCCACCUGUAGCCCUUGAGCUUUUGGCCCAAACUAGUGGAGCACCUUCCAAGUUUCCACUUCGCUGGAAAUUCUCUCGUCAAAAUGCGCUCCUCGAGAUUACUACAAGGGGAAGAAUUGCAAGCCUACUGGUUUUCACACUCGUAAAGGUGCUUGCUUAAAUGCAUUUUGGUGCAAUUUGAAGCUCAAAAUCCAUUGCUCUAAUUUUCUCAUAUCCUAACGCUGAAUGACCUUGAGUAUAGUUUUUGUGGGUACGUUAUUGUGCCUGAGAAAUUGCCCAAUUAUGUAGUCCCUGAUUUGACCGACUUCAAGCUAAAGCCUUAUGUGUCUGAGUGUCCAAUAGAAGUUAAAACAACUGAAUCUUCUGAAGCAGCCAAGUAAAAUAAAUGGAAAGAGAACAAGUAUUCAUAAAUCUCUUCCUUCAUCGUCCAGCUGCCAGCCAAGUAAAAUAAAUGGAAAGAGAACAAGUAUUCAUAAAUCUCUUCCUUCAUCGUCCAGCUGCCUCUGUGUUGAUCUAAACUAAAUUCAAACGUUGUCUGUCAUUGCCAUUAUGAAGUGCUCUUUGAAAGAAAUGAGAAUUAGUUUACUUGUUUCUAUUUCUUGCUUGUUAAACUAACAAAUUAUACUUGCCUUUUCAACUUUGAUUGCUUAAAAUAUAUGUACGGUAGCAAGAAUUGGGAGAAUCUUGUGCCCGAUCUUCUAUGUAUCCGUGUUCUCUUCAUGAUCAAAGCAUAUCCAGCCCAUUAGGAAUGAUAACCAUGCUAACUUAUCAUUUAACAUUAAUA